RNAcentral lists this long non-coding RNA (729 nucleotides) under Pan troglodytes (chimpanzee). RNAcentral's name for it is "lincRNA". The record is from RNAcentral. Lineage: Eukaryota; Metazoa; Chordata; Mammalia; Primates; Hominidae.
CCUGAUUUACCAACAUAACCUGUUUCUGGCCAUGCUGUGAAUCUGCAUUCUUUACUGUGUCCUUGGGAUACUAGGAGGAACCAGAGGAGCAGAUCCUGCUAGGAGGCUAAGCAUGAAGAAGGAAUUCAAAGAAACCUUGUGGAGAACGAAGACACAGCAGGGAGUCUCUGAUCAAGUGCCACAUCUUUAGAGAAGCUUUUCCAAACAACCGGUUAUGAAGUACACAUUAACAAUGAAGCCUCUUUUCAAGUAAAGAAGUUUUAUUUGAUAUGAUUAAAAUAACUAUAACAUAUAUGCGAAAUAUGAAGCCAAAUAAUAAAACUAAGAAGCAUGAAUCCAUCAUUCUACUCAAAAAGCCUUCAAGCUCCAGAUAAUCCUCAGUGAGGUAUACUGUCCGCUCAAUAUCCAAGAGUCACCCUUCUACAAGGGACCUCUAGACUGCCCAUAAGUGAGACAUGACAGAGGUAAAGUAAUGCUCCUGUCUCCCUUGGACCUCGCUGGAAACUGCAUUCAUCAACCCAUGGAACCACCCCCCUGCCAUGAAAGCUAGCAAGAGGCCAAGACCCACAGAACAACCACCAUCACUCCUCUGUCAGCAGGAAGCGGUUACAAAAGACUAACCUUUGCCCAUUUUCCCCAAAGAAUUGGGGUCUUGGAAUCUUGAGGGAGGAAAUGUUACAGUAGGUAGCUAGUCAGACAUGAGCAGAGCAGAAGAGGGCUUACACACAC